This 237-nucleotide ribosomal RNA is filed under the name uncultured Staphylococcus sp. RNAcentral's name for it is "partial 16S ribosomal RNA". It matches the Rfam family "Bacterial small subunit ribosomal RNA", at positions 103 to 334 of the family's 1533-position model. Lineage: Bacteria; Bacillati; Bacillota; Bacilli; Caryophanales; Staphylococcaceae. The record is from RNAcentral.
CGGGUGAGUAACACGUGGAUAACCUACCUAUAAGACCUGGAUAACUUCGGGAAACCGGAGCUAAUACCGGAUAAUAUUUUGAACCGCAUGGUUCAAAAGUGAAAGACGGUCUUGCUGUCACUUAUAGAUGGAUCCGCGCUGCAUUAGCUAGUUGGUAAGGUAACUGCUUACCAAGGCAACGAUGCAUAGCCGACCUGAGAGGGUGAUCGGCCACACUGGAACUGAGACACGGUCCAG